CUUAGACACAGGAAGCCAGGUGUUUGAAUUUGGAUGUGCUCAUGGCCUCUCUGCCAUCACUUGUAUGACUUUUGACCCUCAAGGAAGGCGAUUGGUGACAGGAGGCAGAGAUGGUUGUCUUAAAAUCUGGAACUUCAGUAAUGGCCAUUGCCUUCAGAUACUCAGAAGAGAUGGUGCCUGUGAUGAAAUAUGUGACUGCACCUACCUUAAAGUCCAC
Molecule: long non-coding RNA, 217 nt
Organism: Sardina pilchardus (European sardine)
Lineage: Eukaryota; Metazoa; Chordata; Actinopteri; Clupeiformes; Clupeidae
Exons: 3
Source: RefSeq, a predicted model, not a curated record